GACGAACGCUGGCGGCGUGCCUAACACAUGCAAGUCGAACGGAAACGCCCUGCCUUUUUGCGCUGCUCGGGUGGCGGACGGGGAAGUAACACGUGAGUAACCUGCCCUUCACUUUGGGAUAACUUCAGGAAACUGGAGCUAAUCCCGGAUAGGAUCUCCCGCUGCAUGGUGGGCGUUGGAUAGUUUCGGCGGUUGGGGAUGGACUCGCGGCUUAUCGGCUUGUUGGUUGGGUAGUGGAUUACCAAGGCCUUGACGGGUAGCCGGCCUGGGAGGGUGACCGGCCACAUUAGGACUGAGAGACGGCCCAGACUAGUACGGGAGGCAGCAGUGGGGAGUAUUACACAAUGGGAGGAAGCCAGAUGCAACAACGCCGCGCGCGGGAUGACGGCCUUCGGGUAGUAAACCGCAGUCGCUUGAGACGAAGCGUGAGUGACGGUACUGGGUGAAGAAGCACCGGCUAACUACGUG
Molecule: ribosomal RNA, 468 nt
Filed under: uncultured bacterium
Lineage: Bacteria
Description: partial 16S ribosomal RNA
Rfam family: Bacterial small subunit ribosomal RNA
Source: RNAcentral